Molecule: ribosomal RNA, 495 nt
Filed under: uncultured bacterium
Lineage: Bacteria
Description: partial 16S ribosomal RNA
Rfam family: Bacterial small subunit ribosomal RNA
Source: RNAcentral
GACGAACGCUGGCGGCGUGCCUAAUACAUGCAAGUUGAGCGCUGAAGGUUGGUACUUGUACCGACUGGAUGAGCAGCGAACGGGUGAGUAACGCGUGGGGAAUCUGCCUUUGAGCGGGGGACAACAUUUGGAAACGAAUGCUAAUACCGCAUAAAAACUUUAAACACAAGUUUUAAGUUUGAAAGAUGCAAUUGCAUCACUCAAAGAUGAUCCCGCGUUGUAUUAGCUAGUUGGUGAGGUAAAGGCUCACCAAGGCGAUGAUACAUAGCCGACCUGAGAGGGUGAUCGGCCACAUUGGGACUGAGACACGGCCCAAACCCCUACGGGAGGCAGCAGUAGGGAAUCUUCGGCAAUGGACGAAAGUCUGACCGAGCAACGCCGCGUGAGUGAAGAAGGUUUUCGGAUCGUAAAACUCUGUUGGUAGAGAAGAACGUUGGUGAGAGUGGAAAGCUCAUCAAGUGACGGUAACUACCCAGAAAGGGACGGCUAACUACG